Molecule: RNA transcript, 4720 nt
Organism: Manis pentadactyla (Chinese pangolin)
Lineage: Eukaryota; Metazoa; Chordata; Mammalia; Pholidota; Manidae
Gene: ZNF300
Gene name: zinc finger protein 300
Exons: 10
Source: RefSeq, a predicted model, not a curated record
ACCGCCCGCCGCGGCGGAGAAGGCAGCCUCCGGCUCCUGUACGGAACUGGCCGGGCUCGACAUGGCGGCUCCCAGGCGGACCCUGCGGCCGGGGGCGGCCAUCUUGCCUCCUGGACAAAGCGGCGGAGGAUGCGGAGUGGGCAAAACCGCCGGGUGGUACGAGCGCAGGCUCGAGAGCCUCGUGGUUUGCCCACCCAGACAGGAAGCGGGAGAGCUGGCCAGUAUGGAUGUGACAGCCGUACCCGGUGAAGCGAUCCUGGGCAUUUCGGGACCUGGUAACGGAGCCACAGAUCUAUUUUGACAAAACCUGUAAUACCCCAUAGAAAACAAACUCCCUGUUAUGGGAUCAGUGACCCCUUUGAACCAGUUCAGUCCUGUCUGCAUGAGUACUCCUGGGACUGAGAAAAAUUUACUAGGCAUCUGCCCUUUUAGAAGAGAGCAGAAAAUAAUGAAGUCCCAGGGGUUAGUAUCAUUCAAGGAUGUGGCUGUGGAUUUCACCCAGGAGGAGUGGCAGCAACUGGACCUGGCUCAGAGGACCCUGUACAAGGAUGUGAUGCUGGAGAACUUCAACCACCUGGUCUCAAUGGGGUAUCCAGUUUCCAAACCAGAUGUCAUAUCUAAGUUGGAAAAAGGAGAAGAUCCAUGGGUCAUAAAGAGAGACAUAUCAAAUUGGGUCUAUCCAGAUGAAAAUCAGGCAGAUGGGAGACAAGGGAAGAAAAGUAACCUUGACAACCCCCAAUCAUGUAUUUUGGGGUCUGUUUCCUUCCAUAAUAAGAUACUGAAAGGAGUAACAAAGGAUGGUUCAUUGUACUCCAUUUUAAAAGUCUGUCAAGAUGAUGGCCAGCUGCAGAGAUGUCAGGAAAACCAAGACAAACUUUUCAGGCAGGUAACAGUCAUCAACAACAGAACAGUGACUAUGGAGUCAGGCCAUAAGUAUAAUGCAUUGGGAAAAAUAUUUCAAGAGUGCAUAGAGCCAGAUACUUCAAGACAAAGACCCCAGAAUUGUGAUACAUUUAAAAAGAACUUGAAAUGUAAUACUGAACUACUUAGUCACAAUAAAAGCAGUUCAAGAAAAAACCCUGAUGAGAGUUUGGGGUAUGGAAAAUCUUCUAGCCAUGGUGCAUCCAAUUAUGAUCUUGAGAAAAAUCAUGAUGGAGUAAUACCCUGUGAUGAUGAUCAGUGUGGAAACAUUUUUAGCAAUAAAAAAUCCCUUAUUCAAUAUCAGAAUGUUGAAACUAAAGAGAAAACCUGUGUGUGUAUUACAUGUGGAAAAGCCUUUGCUAAGAAGUCACAGCUUAUUGUGCAUCAAAGAAUUCAUACUGGAAAGAAACCAUAUGAUUGCGGUGCAUGUGGGAAAGCCUUCAGUGAGAAGUUUCAUCUUAUCGUACAUCAGAGAACUCAUACUGGAGAGAAACCUUAUGAAUGUUCUGAAUGUGGAAAAGCCUUCUCUCAAAAAUCAUCCCUUAUUAUACAUCAGAGAGUUCACACUGGGGAAAAGCCAUAUGAAUGUAGUGACUGUGGGAAAGCCUUCUCCCAGAAAUCACCCCUCAUUAUACAUCAGAGAAUUCACACUGGGGAGAAACCUUAUGAAUGUAGAGAGUGUGGGAAGGCCUUCUCCCAGAAGUCACAGCUGAUCAUACAUCACAGAGCUCAUACUGGAGAGAAGCCAUAUGAGUGCACUGAAUGUGGGAAAGCCUUCUGUGAGAAGUCCCACCUCAUUAUACAUAAAAGAAUUCACACUGGAGAGAAACCUUACAAAUGUACUCAAUGUGAAGAAGCUUUCAGUAGGAAGACAGAACUCAUUACACAUCAGUUAAUUCAUACUGGAGAGAAACCUUAUGAAUGUACUGAAUGUGGGAAGACCUUCUCCCGGAAGUCACAGCUCAUCAUACAUCAGAGAACGCAUACUGGAGAGAAACCCUACAAAUGCAGUGAAUGUGGAAAAGCCUUCUGUCAGAAAUCACAUCUCAUUGGACAUCAGAGAAUUCACACAGGAGAAAAACCUUAUAUAUGUACUGAAUGUGGAAAAGCCUUCUCCCAGAAGUCCCACCUCCCAGGACAUCAGCGAAUUCAUACAGGAGAAAAACCUUACAUAUGUGCUGAAUGUGGAAAGGCCUUUUCCCAGAAGUCAGACCUUGUUUUACAUCAGAGAAUUCAUACUGGGGAAAGACCCUAUCAAUGUGCUAUAUGUGGAAAAGCUUUCAUUCAGAAGUCACAACUCACUGUACACCAGAGAAUUCAUAACAGUGGUAAAAUCAUAAUGAACUGAACACAGAAAAGCCUUCAAAAUUAGCUCAAGCCUCAAUAAAUAUUAGAAACCAUAUUAAUUAGUUUGUGGAAGACAUCUUCAUAGGUAAAACUUUACAGGAAAUUCAUUUCUGUUCAGUGAUACCUAACUGUAAGUAAAGAUGAUGGAAAAUAAAUGGACAUUUCAACAUGACCUAUAAAGCUUUUAAAGUUAUGAACUGAAUGGCCAGUAGGACAAAUUAUGUAUAUAAAAUAUUGUCAAAUUACAUAUUUAUCAUGCCACAUAACAAUAACCAAUUGUGAAAUUGAUAGUAUUAGCUUGGCAUAAUUUUGUCCAUAGAGUAAUUCACUAUAAAUGAUAUGAAGAAAGCUUGAGUUAAAAAAAGUUCCUAGAAACUACAUGAGAAGGGGCUUAACAUGACUCCUAAAGAUAUAUGUAAAAUUGUGAUACAAAGAUGGAAAGAUAGGUUGAUCAUAUUCAAUAAAGUUGACAUUUAUGUGUUUCCCCAUCUCAAGUAUGUACAUUGAUUGUAAAGUAAUGAUCCUCUGGAAGGAUCCUGGACUUUAGAUUUGAUGUUUCUUGACCAGGUCUCCCUUUAUUGUCCCUCACUGAGAAUUUGGUAUGGUGGAAAGAGUUUGGUACUGAAUCAGAUGGUCUUGGGUUUUAAUUCUGGCUCAACUACUCACAGAUUGUGUGACUUAGGGCAAUAUUGCUUCCACUCUCUGAAUAUUUUUCUUAUUGGUAAAAAAAAAGUACAAUGAAUAUGGGUUAAUGUUAGUUCUUUUUCUUUCUUCUGUGACUUCUCAGUCUUCAUUAUAUAUUAACAAGUUCUCACUGGCAAGAAAUCUUACAAAUGUGCUUUAGGUGAGGAAGUCUUCAGCAAGAAGACAACUCAUUAGUUAAUACAUGAGUUAAUAUUAGUUAAUGUUCUUUUUAUCUUUUCUAUCCUCCUGAAAUAGGGGGUUAAGACUGAUGUGUAAAAGCUACAUCUGAACUUGCUUUGCACUCCAUAUACACUUGAUAUCCCAUUCCUAUGACUGGUUGAUUUCACUGUCUGACCCAGGUUGCCUUGAUUCUUGGCGGUGCCAAAAAUUACCAGCAGACACUGGUUCUGGAUUUUGUUGAGAUGAUCUAGAGGAAGCCUGAUCUAAUACUUCAAAAUGCUUUGGGAUUCAUUAUAUAAGGAAAUCCUUGAAGAAUUCCCAGAUAUGGCUGCCUGAAGAGGGUCACACCAUCCACAGUUAUACCUGCCAGAGGCUGUCUGGACCUGCAGGAAGGAUUAUGGGCCUCACACUUUCCCAGGCCACCCUGUACUGACCAGGCAGAUGAGGACUGGCUUUUCUGAAGUACAUGAUGUCCUGAAGUUCAGCUGGGCUGUCCUGUAUGUGCUCGGAGGACUGCUGAGAAGCCUGCACAGCUCAAAGAGCACAUCACGCCCAACCACAGGCGCCCAUCUCUUCCAUCCCCCACUUCCUCAUUUUACAGAUGGAGAAGUUGAGGUCCAAACGGGAGAAAUGCCUCAUCAAGGUAACUUAGGGUGCCUGCCUCACUCCAAACUCCCACCUGCACCCCCACUCCCACCCCCAUUCAGGCAUUCACAAUCCUUGCAGGCUGUUCACCACUACAGUGGCACCACAGAUCACAGCACACGGACAAGAAUCUGUGAUGCCUGAAUGACUGAGCAGCUUUCACCACUGCAGCCUAGAGCUUGGGGGACUCUAUAUACAGACACAUGGGAGCCUCAUGAUCCCCCAGGUGUGCUAGACCGGAAGAAACAAGUGGAGUUGCAGGAACCUGGGCCUGGCCACUCCAUCAAAAUACCCACCUCUGAGAGGAGUUCAGGUUUUUAGGCUUUACAUCCCUCAUUCUUUCACUCAGCAAACGAUAUUGAGUGUCGUCCACUUGUCAGGCCCUGUGCCAAGUGCUGAGGAUGCCUCAGACAUGAGCACAGGCAGUCCCUACCUACCCUCAAGGAAUUCGUGGAGGGGGGCCGGGGUGCAAAGAGCCAGCAAGUGAAACAACCAAGUCCUGUGCAAAGAGGCAGAAGGACGAGGGAGCUUGGAAGGAAGGCUUCUCUCCAAGGUAACUUUUGCACACUUCCUUUCUCAUUUGUUUUCUGUCAUUUUCUCCAUUUCACAGGUGGAGAAACGAGACUGGGAGAGAGGACAGUGAAACUACGAGCGCCAGACGAGGGGUGGAACCCACACCCCAGAACUUCAAACUCCUGGCGCCUUCUUUGCGGGGCUUUAAGAAAAGCAGGACAGAUAACCGAAGAGAAGCUGGUCUCCUGAGGCCUGGGACUCACCCGCCGAAGCUCCUGCCUCCUGGGAGGCCCAAGAUCGUGUGCAGAAGGCGUGGGGGAUUGCCCAUGGUGCUCGUGAUGUAUAAAACCUGGGUAUCUGCCAAUCCUUCUUCAGCAAUGACACCAGGAAAUUGACAGCUAAGUGGAUAUUGUAUACAAACUCAUCAUCU